This 2803-nucleotide ribosomal RNA is filed under the name Vibrio parahaemolyticus VP250. RNAcentral describes it as "bacterial LSU rRNA". It matches the Rfam family "Bacterial large subunit ribosomal RNA". The record is from RNAcentral. Lineage: Bacteria; Pseudomonadati; Pseudomonadota; Gammaproteobacteria; Vibrionales; Vibrionaceae.
GUAACAACCAUUUGAGUCUGGGAUUUCUGAAUGGGGAAACCCACGUGCAUAAGCACGUAUCCUUACCUGAAUACAUAGGGUAAGGAGGCGAACCGGGGAAACUGAAACAUCUAAGUACCCCGAGGAAAAGAAAUCAACCGAGAUUCCGAAAGUAGCGGCGAGCGAAAUUGGACUAGCCCUUAAGCUUUACACGCGUUAGACGAACGGUCUGGAAAGUCCGACGAUACAGGGUGAUAGUCCCGUAGUUGACGACGUGUGUUCAGUGAAAUCGAGUAGGGCGGGACACGUGAUAUCCUGUCUGAAUAUGGGGGGACCAUCCUCCAAGGCUAAAUACUACUGACUGACCGAUAGUGAACCAGUACCGUGAGGGAAAGGCGAAAAGAACCCCUGUGAGGGGAGUGAAAUAGAACCUGAAACCGUGUACGUACAAGCAGUAGGAGCAGGCUUUGUCCUGUGACUGCGUACCUUUUGUAUAAUGGGUCAGCGACUUAUAUUCAGUGGCAAGGUUAACCAUCUAGGGGAGCCGUAGGGAAACCGAGUCUUAACUGGGCGUUCAGUCUCUGGAUAUAGACCCGAAACCAGGUGAUCUAGCCAUGGGCAGGUUGAAGGUUGAGUAACAUCAACUGGAGGACCGAACCGACUAAUGUUGAAAAAUUAGCGGAUGACUUGUGGCUAGGGGUGAAAGGCCAAUCAAACCUGGAGAUAGCUGGUUCUCCCCGAAAGCUAUUUAGGUAGCGCCUCGGACGAAUACUACUGGGGGUAGAGCACUGUUAAGGCUAGGGGGUCAUCCCGACUUACCAACCCUUUGCAAACUCCGAAUACCAGUAAGUACUAUCCGGGAGACACACGGCGGGUGCUAACGUCCGUCGUGGAGAGGGAAACAACCCAGACCGCCAGCUAAGGUCCCAAAUUACUACUAAGUGGGAAACGAUGUGGGAAGGCUCAGACAGCCAGGAUGUUGGCUUAGAAGCAGCCAUCAUUUAAAGAAAGCGUAAUAGCUCACUGGUCGAGUCGGCCUGCGCGGAAGAUGUAACGGGGCUAAGUAGUAAACCGAAGCUGCGGCAAUGUGCUUUUGCACAUUGGGUAGGGGAGCGUUCUGUAAGCGGUUGAAGGUGUGUGGUAACGCAUGCUGGACGUAUCAGAAGUGCGAAUGCUGACAUGAGUAACGAUAAAGGGGGUGAAAAACCUCCUCGCCGGAAGACCAAGGGUUCCUGUCCAACGUUAAUCGGGGCAGGGUAAGUCGACCCCUAAGGCGAGGCCGAAAGGCGUAGUCGAUGGGAAACGGGUUAAUAUUCCCGUACUUCUUACAAUUGCGAUGGGGGGACGGAGAAGGCUAGGUGGGCCUGGCGACGGUUGUCCAGGUUCAAGUGCGUAGGCUUAAGAGUUAGGUAAAUCCGGCUCUUUUUAAGGCUGAGACACGACGUCGAGCAUCUACGGAUGUGAAGUCAUUGAUGCCAUGCUUCCAGGAAAAGCCUCUAAGCUUCAGAUUGUAAGGAAUCGUACCCCAAACCGACACAGGUGGUCGGGUAGAGAAUACCAAGGCGCUUGAGAGAACUCGGGUGAAGGAACUAGGCAAAAUGGUACCGUAACUUCGGGAGAAGGUACGCUCUCGACGGUGAAGUCCCUCGCGGAUGGAGCUAUUGAGAGUCGCAGAUACCAGGUGGCUGCAACUGUUUAUUAAAAACACAGCACUGUGCAAAAUCGUAAGAUGACGUAUACGGUGUGACGCCUGCCCGGUGCCGGAAGGUUAAUUGAUGGGGUUAGACUUCGGUCGAAGCUCUUGAUCGAAGCCCCGGUAAACGGCGGCCGUAACUAUAACGGUCCUAAGGUAGCGAAAUUCCUUGUCGGGUAAGUUCCGACCUGCACGAAUGGCGUAAUGAUGGCCACGCUGUCUCCACCCGAGACUCAGUGAAAUUGAAAUCGCUGUGAAGAUGCAGUGUACCCGCGGCUAGACGGAAAGACCCCGUGAACCUUUACUACAGCUUGGCACUGAACAUUGACCCUACAUGUGUAGGAUAGGUGGGAGGCUUUGAAGCACGUACGCCAGUAUGUGUGGAGCCGUCCUUGAAAUACCACCCUUGUAGUGUUGAUGUUCUAACGUCGACCCCUUAUCGGGGUUGCGGACAGUGCCUGGUGGGUAGUUUGACUGGGGCGGUCUCCUCCCAAAGAGUAACGGAGGAGCACGAAGGUGGGCUAAUCACGGUUGGACAUCGUGAGGUUAGUGCAAUGGCAUAAGCCCGCUUGACUGCGAGAAUGACAAUUCGAGCAGGUGCGAAAGCAGGUCAUAGUGAUCCGGUGGUUCUGAAUGGAAGGGCCAUCGCUCAACGGAUAAAAGGUACUCCGGGGAUAACAGGCUGAUACCGCCCAAGAGUUCAUAUCGACGGCGGUGUUUGGCACCUCGAUGUCGGCUCAUCACAUCCUGGGGCUGAAGUCGGUCCCAAGGGUAUGGCUGUUCGCCAUUUAAAGUGGUACGCGAGCUGGGUUUAGAACGUCGUGAGACAGUUCGGUCCCUAUCUGCCGUGGGCGUUGGAAGAUUGAAGGGGGCUGCUCCUAGUACGAGAGGACCGGAGUGGACGAACCUCUGGUGUUCGGGUUGUGUCGCCAGACGCAUUGCCCGGUAGCUAAGUUCGGAAUCGAUAACCGCUGAAAGCAUCUAAGCGGGAAGCGAGCCCUGAGAUGAGUCUUCCCUGAUACUUUAAGUAUCCUAAAGGGUUGUCGGAGACUACGACGUUGAUAGGUCAGGUGUGUAAGUGCUGUGAGGCAUUGAGCUAACUGAUACUAAUUGCCCGUGAGGCUUAACCAU